This 576-nucleotide ribosomal RNA is filed under the name uncultured Legionella sp. Its description in RNAcentral is "bacterial SSU rRNA". It matches the Rfam family "Bacterial small subunit ribosomal RNA", at positions 335 to 902 of the family's 1533-position model. The record is from RNAcentral. Lineage: Bacteria; Pseudomonadati; Pseudomonadota; Gammaproteobacteria; Legionellales; Legionellaceae.
ACUCCUACGGGAGGCAGCAGUGGGGAAUAUUGGACAAUGGGGGCAACCCUGAUCCAGCAAUGCCGCGUGUGUGAAGAAGGCCUGAGGGUUGUAAAGCACUUUCAGUGGGGAGGAGGAUUGAUUGGUUAAGAGCUGAUUAAUUGGACGUUACCUACAGAAGAAGCACCGGCUAACUCCGUGCCAGCAGCCGCGGUAAUACGGAGGGUGCGAGCGUUAAUCGGAAUGACUGGGCGUAAAGGGUGCGUAGGUGGUUAGAUAAGUUGUUGGUGAAAUCUCCGGGCUUAACCUUGGGUUGACGAACAAUACUGUCUGACUGGAGUACAGGAGAGGGUAGUGGAAUUUCCGGUGUAGCGGUGAAAUGCGUAGAGAUCGGAAGGAACACCAGUUGCGAAGGCGGCUACCUGGCCUGUUACUGACACUGAGGCACGAAAGCGUGGGGAGCAAACAGGAUUAGAUACCCUGGUAGUCCACGCUGUAAACGAUGUCAACUAGCUGUUUUUCAUAUAGAGAUGAGAAGUGGCGUAGCUAACGCGAUAAGUUGACCGCCUGGGGAGUACGGUCGCAAGAUUAAAACUC